UGGAAAAGAUGUUACUGCGGGUAAAAGGAUAAAGCAACAUUUGGUGGGUGGAUAUGGAGAUGUUGCGAAGUGCACCAAGACAACUGCAGCAAUUGCUCAAGAGAUGAAUGCAGCUUUAAUGCGCAA
Long non-coding RNA from Telopea speciosissima, 126 nucleotides. RefSeq lists it as uncharacterized. NCBI's taxonomy places the organism in Eukaryota, Viridiplantae, Streptophyta, Magnoliopsida, Proteales, Proteaceae. The record is from RefSeq and is a predicted model, not a curated record. The transcript has 3 exons.